Molecule: small nucleolar RNA, 131 nt
Organism: Suncus etruscus (white-toothed pygmy shrew)
Lineage: Eukaryota; Metazoa; Chordata; Mammalia; Eulipotyphla; Soricidae
Product: small nucleolar RNA SNORA51
Exons: 1
Source: RefSeq, a predicted model, not a curated record
GACCUCCCAAUGCUUACCACAGGCUGUGUUCUUUACACUGACUGUAUAGAAAGAGGAGGUACAGUAAAAGCUCCCCAUAUACACCUCAACCUGGUCCUUUGCCUAUCUAUAUUGUGAAUGGGGGGACAAAA